AAACCUCAUGUAGUGAACCUUAGGAGCCCACCCUAGGUAGAACCACUUCGAACCCCUAGUAUUCACCCAAAUAGGUGUUCUAUUUAUUCUUGCUUGCUUUUGCUUUGUACUAACAUGUUUUCUUUUUGUUAUGAUUGCAUUGCAUUUUCAUCAUAAAAAGAGGUGUUGAUUCACGUUCAAUUGCUAAAUAGAGAGCUUGUCAUAAGAAAAUGGGUUUCUUGAUAAAGUGGAUGACGAUACGGUUGUCCUAAUACGGUCCGAGAAGAUAUAACAAAAGAAGGAUGAUAGUUCAGUAGAGGACUAUACGACUUUGCCUCGUUGCCUGAAGACUCAAGAUGACAAAGAUUAUUCGAGAACCGCUAAACUUUUUAAAGAGAAGCCAACGAGCAUCACAAGGAUGAGUGAGUAACGAGUCGCGGCCCAGAUGAAGAAAAAAGAGAUAGAAGGGAUG
This 451-nucleotide long non-coding RNA is filed under the name Gossypium barbadense (sea-island cotton). RNAcentral's name for it is "long non-coding RNA (GBAR_LNC016587)". Lineage: Eukaryota; Viridiplantae; Streptophyta; Magnoliopsida; Malvales; Malvaceae. The record is from RNAcentral.